CCAUUUGAAAAUUAUCUUUGAAUUAAAAGUCCAAUGCUUUCACUGUUAAGCUAUCAAACCACCAUGAUUUUUUCACGAGUU
This 81-nucleotide transfer RNA is filed under the name Columbicola macrourae. RNAcentral describes it as "tRNA-Lys". The record is from RNAcentral. Lineage: Eukaryota; Metazoa; Arthropoda; Insecta; Psocodea; Philopteridae.